This 534-nucleotide ribosomal RNA is filed under the name uncultured bacterium. RNAcentral's name for it is "partial 16S ribosomal RNA". It matches the Rfam family "Bacterial small subunit ribosomal RNA", at positions 355 to 881 of the family's 1533-position model. The record is from RNAcentral.
UGGGGAAUCUUGGACAAUGGGGGCAACCCUGAUCCAGCAAUGCCGCGUGUGGGAUGAAGGCCUCGGGUUGUAAACCACUUUUGGCGGGGGCGAAAUAUCGAGUGCUAAUACCAUUCGGUGAUGACGGUACCCGCAGAAUAAGCACCGGCUAACUACGCGCCAGCAGCCGCGGUAAUACGUAGGGUGCAAGCGUUAAUCGGAAUUACUGGGCGUAAAGCGUGCGCAGGCGGUUAGGUAAGACAGGUGUGAAAUUCCCGGGCUCAACCUGGGAACUGCAUUUGUGACUGCCUGACUAGAGUGCGGCAGAGGGGAGUGGAAUUCCGCGUGUAGCAGUGAAAUGCGUAGAUAUGCGGAGGAACACCGAUGGCGAAGGCAACUCCCUGGGCCUGCACUGACGCUCAUGCACGAAAAGCGUGGGGAGCAAAACAGGAUUAGAUACCCUGGUAGUCCACGCCCUAAACGAUGUCGACUAGUUGUUGGACGGGUUACUGUUCAGUAACGAAGCUAACGCGUGAAGUCGACCGCCUGGGGAGU